CUAAGUUUGAUGGCGACCGGCGCACGGGUGGGUAACACGUAUCCAACCUGCCGAUGACUCGGGGAUAGCCUUUCGAAAGAAAGAUUAAUACCCGAUGGCAUAGUUCUUCCGCAUGGUAGAACUAUUAAAGAAUUUCGGUCAUCGAUGGGGAUGCGUUCCAUUAGGUUGUUGGCGGGGUAACGGCCCACCAAGCCUUCGAUGGAUAGGGGUUCUGAGAGGAAGGUCCCCCACAUUGGAACUGAGACACGGUCCAA
Molecule: ribosomal RNA, 254 nt
Filed under: uncultured bacterium
Lineage: Bacteria
Description: partial 16S ribosomal RNA
Rfam family: Bacterial small subunit ribosomal RNA
Source: RNAcentral